This 67-nucleotide transfer RNA is filed under the name Osteolaemus sp. FAF-2012. Its description in RNAcentral is "tRNA-Pro". The record is from RNAcentral. Lineage: Eukaryota; Metazoa; Chordata; Crocodylia; Crocodylidae.
AAGUAGUUUAGUAAGAAUAUCGGCUUUGGGGGUCGAAGGAGUGGAGUUAUGUCUACCUUCUUGAAUU